GACGUAGGGCGCGAGCGUUGUCCGGAUUUAUUGGGCGUAAAGAGCUCGUAGGCGGCUUGUCGCGUCGACUGUGAAAACCCAAGGCUCAACUUCGGGCUUGCAGUCGAUACGGGCAGACUAGAGGUAUGCAGGGGAGAACGGAAUUCCUGGUGUAGCGGUGAAAUGCGCAGAUAUCAGGAGGAACACCUGCGGUGUAGACGGCUUUCUGGACCAUUGUUGACGCUGAGACACGAAAGCGUGGGUAGCAAACAGG
This 253-nucleotide ribosomal RNA is filed under the name uncultured bacterium. RNAcentral describes it as "partial 16S ribosomal RNA". It matches the Rfam family "Bacterial small subunit ribosomal RNA", at positions 524 to 776 of the family's 1533-position model. The record is from RNAcentral.